RNAcentral lists this ribosomal RNA (253 nucleotides) under uncultured bacterium. RNAcentral's name for it is "partial 16S ribosomal RNA". It matches the Rfam family "Bacterial small subunit ribosomal RNA", at positions 524 to 776 of the family's 1533-position model. The record is from RNAcentral.
UACGUAGGGCGCAAGCGUUGUCCGGAAUUAUUGGGCGUAAAGAGCUCGUAGGCGGCCUGUUGCGUCCGCUGUGAAAUCCCGGGGCUUAACCCCGGGCCUGCAGUGGAUACGGGCAGGCUGGAGGCAGGCAGGGGAGACUGGAAUUCCUGGUGUAGCGGUGGAAUGCGCAGAUAUCAGGAGGAACACCGGUGGCGAAGGCGGGUCUCUGGGCCGUUACUGACGCUGAGGAGCGAAAGCGUGGGGAGCGAACAGG